Clupea harengus (Atlantic herring) is the source of this 1522-nucleotide long non-coding RNA. NCBI's taxonomy places the organism in Eukaryota, Metazoa, Chordata, Actinopteri, Clupeiformes, Clupeidae. The record is from Ensembl.
UGUGUGUGUGUGUGUGUGCGCUGACCCUCCCUUCUCCACUCCCUGGGUCAGUGUGUUGUCGCUCCAUGUGUCCACAGCACAGUGUGCCGAGUGGGAAAAUCAGAACUAUCCUGCUCUUCGUUUCCUGUCAGCAACACACACACACACACACACACACACACACGUGUGCCGGUGUGUGCGAGCGACAGACUGCAGAACCCCACUUUGGAAUAGCUGGAAAGGGACACCUGGAAGACUGCCACCCACACACACACACACACACACACACACACACACACACACACACACACACACACACACACACACACACACACACACACACACACACACACACACACACACACACACGUGUGCCGGUGUGUGCGAGAGACAGACUGCAGAACCCCACUUUGGAAUAGCUGAACCUGGAAGACUGCCUCGGUUUUACACUUUCUUUUUCUAUUUAUUCUUACUCUAGACAUUUCUCUCUCGCUCUCCAUCUCUCUCUCUCCAUCUCUUUUUUUCUUCCUUCCCUCUCUCUCCCUCUGUCUCCCUCUCUCUAUCCUCUCUCUCCUCUCCUCUCUCUCUCUCUCCUCUCUCUCUCUCCCUCUCUCCUCUCUCUCUCUUCAUCCCUCUCUCCCUCUCUCCGGUUCUCCUGUGCUCAUGCUCCUCUGCCUCUCCUCUCCCUGUUGGAUGGCCGUCAGGUGGAGAACUGGAGGACUAACCCCUUCCCAUCAGCCCCUCUGAGCUCAGGACAGAAGGACAGGAACAGAGGAAUAAACGGAGGAAUAAACGGAUAGACAAAACAGCAGAAAAGACUGUGACAGAGGAACGACUAACGCCUCUCGUCUGCAACAGGGAACUCGCUGAACUCGUCCCGUGUGGACACAGUCCUCUCACUGGGACAGCAUCUGUAUGGCAGAUUGAGCAGGUGAGUGUGUGAGUGAGUGUGUGGGUGUUUGUCUGGGUGUGUGUGGGUGUGUGUGGGUGUGUGUGGGUGUGUGUGUGUGAGUGUGUGUGAGUGUGUGUGUGUGUGUGUGUGUGUGUGAGUGUAUGUGUGCGUGUGUGUGCUGUUAGUAGUUCAGUCUGGGCUGUCUAUGUGCGGUUUGUGACAUCAGUGUGUGUGUGACAUCAGUGUGCGUGUGCGUGCAUGUGCAGUUUGGUGCAUCAGUGUGUGUGAGUGUGCUGUUUGUGACAUCAGUGUGUGUAUGCUGUUUGUGACAUCAGUGUGCGUGUGUGUGUGCUGUUUGUGACAUCAGUGUGUGUGUGCUGUUUGUGGCAUCAGUGUGCGUGUGCGUGUGUGUGCAGUUUGGUGCAUCAGUGUGUGUGUGUGCUGUUCGUGACAUCAGUGUGUGUGCUGUUUAUGACAUCAGUGUGUGUGUGUGUGCGGUUUGUGACAUCAGUGUGUGUGUGUGUGUGUGCUGUUUAUGACAUCAGUGUGUGUGUGUGUGCGGUUUGUGACAUCAGUGUGUGUGUGUGUGUGCUGUUUGUGACAUCAGUGUGUGUGUGUGUGUGUGCUGUUUGUGACAUCAGUGUGUGUGUG